GCGACUGCGGGUGAAGUCGUAACAAGGUAGCCGUAGGGGAACCUGUGGCUGGAUCACCUCCUUUCUAAGGAUGAUCAAGAAUUGGGAUAUCUCAUCUUUAGGAUAAAGUUUCCCUUUUUGAUCUCAUUAGACAUAAAGGUUUAAGACGAUUCAGUUUAAACCUUAUGCAUGUGAGACUAACUCUUCAUGAGACAUUUCCUCAAAAGAGAAGCUUCUUUUACAAAAAAGAAGUCCCAUCUCUUGAGGCCCCUACCUCGAUGAGAAGAUGUUCCAUAAGGGCUUAGUGCUCAUGUGUUAAGUUUAUAAGCAGACUAGCCGUCUUCGUUUCUCUUUCUUCAGAUGAUGAUCCCAAGCCUUCUGGCGCUCUACGCGAUGCAAGGCCUUAAUAGGGCUUUCAGAAAAAAUGCUCUUUCAGAAAACAUUUUGGUGUUUUAUAAGAUGCUGCUUUUAUAAGAUGAUGCCGGGGAAGGUUUUCCGGUUUAUCCCGGAGGGCUUGUAGCUCAGUUGGUUAGAGCGCGCGCUUGAUAAGCGUGAGGUCGGAGGUUCAAGUCCUCCCAGGCCCACCAAUUUAUCUGUUAAUUUAUAAGCGCUGGUGAAACUUGCUUAUAUGGAUCUUGCCUAUCAAUUUGUAAGAAACUUACUUAUCUUACGGGAUGAUUUACUUAUAAAAGGCUUUCUUAUGAAUUUAUUUAUAAUCUUAUGAAUUUAUUUAUAAAAGUGUGGCUACCUCUUUGGUUUAAGCAAUGCGAAGUUAAAGCAGUUCAACAGCAAAAGUGAUCCCAAUUUAAGAUCUGAAAUUUAAAAGUUUCAAAUGCGUUAUCCUGUUUUUAGGGGCCGUAGCUCAGCUGGGAGAGCACCUGCUUUGCAAGCAGGGGGUCGUCGGUUCGAUCCCGUCCGGCUCCACCAAUUUGAUCAUCAUCAUUGUUGUGAGAACAAAUUUUGUGAGAGGUUCAAUAAUCUUUCGCUUGUUCUAAUGAAAUUGUGAAGAGAAGAUAUAUUCAGACAUGUCCCUUUUGAUAGGUUUAUUUUAGAGGACAAGGUUUUUCUCAGGAAAAAUGCUUGUCGUCAGGAUAAAGAUUUAAAUCUUAAAAGGAGACAUUGUGUCGCAGGGGAAUGCUCAAAGCCCUUGCUUAUGAUUGGAAGCUUAACCGCGCCACUGAGUAUAUCUCUGAGAAGCUGGUCUUUUCUGCUGAUAUUUUUAUUUGUUUUGCGCUUUGUUUUGCACAAGGCAAAGAAUGCGGACAAAAGAGAAUGAAUAUUGGCAAUGAGAACG
This 1273-nucleotide unclassified non-coding RNA is filed under the name Bartonella alsatica. Its description in RNAcentral is "partial contains 16S ribosomal RNA, 16S-23S intergenic spacer, and 23S ribosomal RNA". The stretch from base 490 to 563 matches the Rfam family "tRNA". Lineage: Bacteria; Pseudomonadati; Pseudomonadota; Alphaproteobacteria; Hyphomicrobiales; Bartonellaceae. The record is from RNAcentral.